Molecule: ribosomal RNA, 589 nt
Filed under: Sebastes zacentrus (sharpchin rockfish)
Lineage: Eukaryota; Metazoa; Chordata; Actinopteri; Perciformes; Sebastidae
Description: partial 16S ribosomal RNA
Rfam family: Bacterial large subunit ribosomal RNA
Source: RNAcentral
CAAAACAUCGCCUCUUGCAAAGCUAAAGAAUAAGAGGUCCCGCCUGCCCUGUGACUAUUAGUUUAACGGCCGCGGUAUUUUGACCGUGCAAAGGUAGCGCAAUCACUUGUCUUUUAAAUGAAGACCUGUAUGAAUGGCACAACGAGGGCUUAACUGUCUCCUCUUUCAAGUCAAUGAAAUUGAUCUCCCCGUGCAGAAGCGGGGAUACAAACAUAAGACGAGAAGACCCUAUGGAGCUUUAGACACCAAAGAAGAUCCUGUCAAGUAACCCCCUAUAAUGGGCCUGAACUAAUGGAAUCCUUCCCUAAUGUCUUUGGUUGGGGCGACCGCGGGGAAACAAAAAACCCCCACGUGGAAAGGGAGCACCCCCUCCUACAAUUAAGAGCCGCAGCUCUAAUUAACAGAAUAUCUGACCAAUAAGAUCCGGCAAUGCCGAUCAACGGACCGAGUUACCCUAGGGAUAACAGCGCAAUCCCCUUUUAGAGCCCAUAUCGACAAGGGGGUUUACGACCUCGAUGUUGGAUCAGGACAUCCUAAUGGUGCAGCCGCUAUUAAGGGUCCGUUUGUUCAACGGUUAAAGUCCUACGUG